UCCCGAUAAAGCCCCGGAGCUCUCCAGGCUGCUCCCAGGGCAAGGGUGAGCGCCGCGCACGCCCAGCCCGGAGACACAACAAACGCCCGCUGAGAGCUUUAAUUGCGUUGCAAUCAUCUGCUGGUAUCAAGGAAUGGCGAGGAGAGUCAAAACAGGCACUUUGAUCCCGGCAGAAGCUGGAAAAACAGCAACGACUUGGCCAAGAUCCCUGUGGCUGAACAUUUACAGAGAGAAAGAGAGAAAAAAUAGAGAGAGUUUAUAACAAUCUCUGUAGAAGAAACAAAACAAUCCAGGAAAGAAAAUAUCCAAGGAUACGCCAAGGCAUCCAUCACUAAGUAUUGGGAAUUGCUAAAGCUAUUCUUUACUCCAAACCACCUGCUUAAAACAACGAAAAAAAAAAAAAAAAUAAAA
Long non-coding RNA from Zonotrichia leucophrys gambelii, 411 nucleotides. RefSeq lists it as uncharacterized. Lineage: Eukaryota; Metazoa; Chordata; Aves; Passeriformes; Passerellidae. The record is from RefSeq and is a predicted model, not a curated record. The transcript has 3 exons.